This 116-nucleotide ribozyme is filed under the name Aedes aegypti (yellow fever mosquito). RNAcentral describes it as "drz-agam-1 ribozyme". It matches the Rfam family "drz-agam-1 ribozyme". Lineage: Eukaryota; Metazoa; Arthropoda; Insecta; Diptera; Culicidae. The record is from Rfam by way of RNAcentral.
UGCCCAGUAACUCCUAUCCAUACCUCCUCGCGGUUUUGGCCGGGGUACGAGUAACCUUAGGGAAGAUCGGGUAGCCAACCCCGGUGGGAACUCUGGUCGUAUGCUGACAGGGAAGG